GACGAACGCUGGCGGCGUGCUUAACACAUGCAAGUCGAACGGAAAGGCCCUGCUUUUGUGGGGUGCUCGAGUGGCGAACGGGUGAGUAACACGUGAGUAACCUGCCCUUGACUUUGGGAUAACUUCAGGAAACUGGGGCUAAUACCGGAUAGGAGCUCCUGCUGCAUGGUGGGGGUUGGAAAGUUUCGGCGGUUGGGGAUGGACUCGCGGCUUAUCAGCUUGUUGGUGGGGUAGUGGCUUACCAAGGCUGUGACGGGUAGCCGGCCUGAGAGGGUGACCGGCCACAUUGGGACUGAGAUACGGCCAAGACUCCUACGGGAGGCAGCAGUGGGGAAUAUUGCACAAUGGGCGGAAGCCUGAUGCAGCAACGCCGCGUGCGGGAUGACGGCCUUCGGGUUGUAAACCGCUUUCGCCUGUGACGAAGCGUGAGUGACGGUAAUGGGUAAAGAAGCACCGGCUAACUACG
RNAcentral lists this ribosomal RNA (466 nucleotides) under uncultured bacterium. RNAcentral's name for it is "partial 16S ribosomal RNA". It matches the Rfam family "Bacterial small subunit ribosomal RNA", at positions 28 to 505 of the family's 1533-position model. The record is from RNAcentral.